Molecule: long non-coding RNA, 790 nt
Organism: Onychostruthus taczanowskii (white-rumped snowfinch)
Lineage: Eukaryota; Metazoa; Chordata; Aves; Passeriformes; Passeridae
Exons: 3
Source: RefSeq, a predicted model, not a curated record
GUACCCCCCGAUCAGCUCCCCGGGCACGCGCCAGCGCUACAAGGCGGAUUUCGGGGCGGAGCUGCGGCGCUACAAGGAGCUCUGUGCCCACAUGGACGGGCUCAACGAGCGCCUGGCACAGCUGGCAGCACAGCUGGACCAGGUGCCCGAGGACAGCGCCCAGUACCAGGCGCUGGCCGAGGAGUACAACCACCUCAAGGACGUGAAGCGGAGCCCGGAGUACCAGGACAAAAAACGAGAAUCCAAAACUCUCCGGAACAAACUCUUCCACAUCAAAAGGAUGGUGAGCGACUACGACAAACUCCGGGGCUGACCCCGAAGCCACCACCCCAAAAACAAAGGGACAUUUUUAGGGGGGACACCCCAAAAAACCCCCCCCCGACACCCUCCAAAGACUUUUGUGCCUUUUUUUUUGUGUUAAAAAGACCCAAAAUUCCUCGUUUUGAGCCCUCCCCGGUGCCAAGGUGGCGGGGGAUGGUGGCAGCUGUUGGUGUGACCCACCCCCCCCACCUCAAAAUGUCCCCAAAUGUCCCCCACACGUUUGGGACCCCCCCAGUGCCUUCCCCUGGUUGUAAAUAGGGUUUUUUAUGGGGUUUGCACUCCCCUGGCUGCCUUAAAGGGGUUUUGGGGGUCCCAAAUUGGGGUUUGGGGGGACAAAAAAAAAAACCCUUUUGGGUUUUUUAAUUUUGGGGGGGACCCAAAUCCCCAAAAUAUUUCGUAGGGAAUUGGUGGGAACUGUGGGAAUUGUGUAAUAUUUUAAUUGUUUUGUAAUAAAUGAAGUGUAAUUGUU